UAGGGAAUCUUCCGCAAUGGGCGAAAGCCUGACGGAGCAACGCCGCGUGAGUGAUGAAGGUCUUCGGAUCGUAAAACUCUGUUAUUAGGGAAGAACAAAUGUGUAAGUAACUAUGCACGUCUUGACGGUACCUAAUCAGAAAGCCACGGCUAACUACGUGCCAGCAGCCGCGGUAAUACGUAGGUGGCAAGCGUUAUCCGGAAUUAUUGGGCGUAAAGCGCGCGUAGGCGGUUUUUUAAGUCUGAUGUGAAAGCCCACGGCUCAACCGUGGAGGGUCAUUGGAAACUGGAAAACUUGAGUGCAGAAGAGGAAAGUGGAAUUCCAUGUGUAGCGGUGAAAUGCGGAGAGAUAUGGAGGAAAACCAGUGGCGAAGGCGACUUUCUGGUCUGUAACUGACGCUGAUGUGCGAAAGCGUGGGGAUCAAACAGG
Molecule: ribosomal RNA, 429 nt
Filed under: Actinomycetes bacterium
Lineage: Bacteria; Bacillati; Actinomycetota; Actinomycetes
Description: Actinobacteria bacterium partial 16S ribosomal RNA
Rfam family: Bacterial small subunit ribosomal RNA
Source: RNAcentral